RNAcentral lists this ribosomal RNA (497 nucleotides) under uncultured bacterium. RNAcentral's name for it is "partial 16S ribosomal RNA". It matches the Rfam family "Bacterial small subunit ribosomal RNA", at positions 28 to 507 of the family's 1533-position model. The record is from RNAcentral.
GAUGAACGCUGGCGGCGUGCCUAAUACAUGCAAGUCGAGCGAACAGACGAGGAGCUUGCUCCUCUGACGUUAGCGGCGGACGGGUGAGUAACACGUGGAUAACCUACCUAUAAGACUGGGAUAAUUUCGGGACACCGGCGCUAAUACCGGAUAAUAUAUUGAACCGCAUGGUUCAAUAGUGAAAGACGGUUUUGCUGUCACUUAUAGAUGGAUCCGCGCCGGAUUAGCUAGUUGGUAAGGUCACGGCUUACCAAGGCAACGAUGCGUAGCCGACCUGAGAGGGGGAUCGGCCACACUGGAGCUGAGACAGGGACCAGGCGCCUACGGGAGGCAGCAGUAGGGAAUCUGCCGCAAUAGGCGAAAGCCUGACGGAGCAACGCCGCGUGAGUUAUGAAGGUCUUCGGAGCGUAAAACUCUGUUAUGAGGGAAGAACAAAUGUGUAAGGAACUAUGCACGUCGUGACGGUACCUAAUCAGAAAGCCACGGCUAACUACGUG